RNAcentral lists this long non-coding RNA (884 nucleotides) under Triticum aestivum (bread wheat). RNAcentral describes it as "long non-coding RNA (TAES_LNC016853)". Lineage: Eukaryota; Viridiplantae; Streptophyta; Magnoliopsida; Poales; Poaceae. The record is from RNAcentral.
UGCAAUCUAAUGCUUUGCUCUGCUAUUUUAAUUUUGUGUAACAUGCAUACUCUCAUGGAUCUGUACGCAUGUGUUUGCAAGAACUUGUACGCAUGAGUUUGUAAGAAGUUGAAUGCUGGUAUGAUGCUUUAUUUUCUACAAAGUUGGGCUAUAUGCUCACGGCUGCUUCCUGAUAAUUGUGCAUGUAACUUGGUUUCUUCACUUCAUUUAAAUGAUUAGUAUGUUUUGGGCUUUGACCUAUGCAUAUAACAACACUACCAUGCCAGUUUGUACAUCUUCUGUUUUUGGUUCUUUGGACUCAAGAGUAACUCAGAAGUUUGAACAAAUGUACUAUGAUAAUAUUGCUCAAACAUAUGGUGCUUUUGCAGGGUCAAAUGGCGGGAAGUAUCAAGUCAAAGAUAUUAUGGCUUUUGUACAUCUUCUAUUUUCUUUAAAUGGAAGUUGGUGUUGGUUUGGUGAUCGAAGACUUGGGCUCUUCCAUAGUGUUUUGUAGAGUGAUCGAACACUUAAGUCUCUUAUGAACUAGGACCAUAAUUUGUAACAUGCCACAACUUGUAUGUUGAGUUGAGUAUUUGUUUCAAUGGUUGUAACAAGGAAAACUGAUCUUCUAUAUAUGUUGAAUAAAUGCUUUGGUCAAUGGCAUUUUGUGAUGAAUAGAAGAGUGUAAUUGUUGGUAUAUCUACUGCAAAGUGAACAUGAAUUGAAUAUUUUGAAUAUAUUUUCAUGUUAAUAUAUGUUGCAUUUGCAUUUGUGCUGAAAUGUAUAGCCCUGGCAGCAAAUGUGUCGGCAAAACUAUUGGAGGUCGCAAAGACUGUUGGCAUAGCAUACUUACAGAGAAACUGUCGGGGUAGCAACGGCCGUUGCACUAUCUGUCGGUAUAGCAC